GUCUUUUUGGAGAUGUUUGAUGCAAUUGGAACGAUACAAACAAAAUUAGCAUAGCCCUAUAAAAGAUGGCAUGCACAAAUUAGAAAGUGAUUUGAUUUUC
Small nuclear RNA from Eucalyptus grandis, 100 nucleotides. The record is from RefSeq and is a predicted model, not a curated record. Lineage: Eukaryota; Viridiplantae; Streptophyta; Magnoliopsida; Myrtales; Myrtaceae.